Molecule: long non-coding RNA, 2219 nt
Organism: Bos taurus (domestic cattle)
Lineage: Eukaryota; Metazoa; Chordata; Mammalia; Artiodactyla; Bovidae
Source: Ensembl
GUUUGCCCAGGACCCGUUUUGGCAUUGAGAGUCUAUUUGCCAGGAAACCGUCCAGUCCUGGCCGAAUGGGAACAGUGGGUCACCCAUUUCAGUGAGCGGCUAUGAAAGUUCGUUAUAACCCACUCGGACUGGGGGGAGGGCAACUUGAACACACCAUCUGGGGCUCAUGGGGUUGGCUGAGAGCAGUUUACAGGACCUCCCAUGGCUGAAGGAGUUUCAAGCAUCCAUCCAAUCAGCUGUCUUCUAAAGCAGAGAUCAGAGCAAUCCUGCCAGGGACACUUUCCCGGGGAGUCCAACACAUUCUACCCCCGACCUCUUGUCACUUUGAAAGGCAGGCAGCUCCACCCACCUAGCCCCAGGACCAGGAGGCCAGGCAUCCUCCUCCACAGCCUCGCAGCCUUCCGAGGGAAGCAGCUGGUUCUGCCUCUCCACACCCAGACACGGCUCCUUCUGAACUUUUUCUUCCAGGAUGUGCUAAGGUCACCCCAGGCAUGAGAGCUGGCUAAAUCCCAUCUGCUGCUCUCAGAUACCUUCAUGGAGAAAAUGUCAGGGGUUCCAAGAGACUUCACAGACCAGCGAAGUAUGCUCCCUCCCUUUUUUGUCUAUGGGGUCUUCAAGGCCAGAGUCAUUUGUCUGGCAACACUGGAAUGAUCCAGGGUGCUGCUAGCAUCCUGUGCAGUCUCUGAUCUGGGCGGAUAGAUGCAGCAGGUGCCUCUGAGGGACCAGGGGUAAAACCCAGGCCUGCUUAGCUGUUGGGGGCCAUUCAUUGACUCCCUUAGCCUCUCACUGAGUUGUGUGCUCAAGGAGGCAGGGAGCAGAGGGUCGCAUCUCAUCACCCCCGUUCUGUGUUAGAGUCACUGCUCGAGCGUGAGGACCUGAGCUGUGAGCCGCUGCAGGGGCUAGUUCACAACUGGUCGUCACUGUCCAUCUUUUCUAGAAAAAGCACCUCUGAUUAACAGUGCAACAGGUGGUUUGUGGGCGGUGGUUGUUGCAUAUACAGGGCAGCUUUGCCUUGCCGGAGCUCAUGCAUCUGCCAGUGUGCCAGCGUUAGAGCCCCUUUAUACCAGAGGUGGGCCAUGAUCCUGAUGGCUUGGUGCCACUGAGGUGGCUGCUGCUUUUACAUUAAAAAACUCUCAUGGCAACAGGAAAUGUACCGGGAACGAUGAGAAGUCUGUUCAGUGGGGAAGGCCCUGGUGCAUACUUGAUGGAUCCAUUGGCAUUCAGAGAAGUUUACAGGCCAACUUCUUAGUUGGGAGCCUAGCCAGCUUUUGGGACCUCCCUGGGAAGUGGGGAGGAGGUUGGGAGGGGGGUGACUUAGUGGAGGAUGUGAAGCGAGGAGAGUUUAGGACACCCCAUCCCACCUAAACAGAACAAAACUUAAGUUUUCCCCCCCAAUCCACUGUUCCUUGGAAAUCUGUAAAGAGGACAUAACCCUUCUCAGUUGUACUCUCAUGAUACAGGUCAUUGAAAUGAACCAAGAAAUAAAAUGGAAAAAAAAUCCAACCACAGAGAAGGUGGUAUUGGCUGGGUUUUGUUUGGUGCCCGUGUCCCCACACUUUCUCGAGAUUCUAGACUGGCUUUGGCACAUGUGAACCUUGAUAAGGGCUCGCAGUUUUGGUACAGAGGAAGCUUCAGUGAUUCCCAGGGCACAAUUUAAGAACCGAGUAGGAAGACCAGAGCAGGAUGUUGGGUGGGAGGCAGUGGCAGGGCCUUAGAGGAGCUGGAGUCUGCACCCGCCCCCUGGGUCAGGGGCCACCCUUCCCUCCAGGGUCCCCCCAGCCCCUCAACAGAAGGCAGAGGGGGUUGUGGCGAGGGGACAGAGGCCCAUGCCACGGAAGAGCACCAAAGAAAAGCACUAUGUGGAGAUUGUUUUAUUUUCUAAUAAGGAUAAUGUGGCUGGAAUGGCUUCUUAAGAUGUAUAUAUUUUUUAAAAUGAUGGUCCCUUAUUGCAUCACCACCCCUGUACAUACUCCCACCUCUGUAUGUGUUCUCCCAAAUGCCCUAGGAGUCUUCCCAUCCUGGUCCCAUGUAUCUGGAAUCUAAUAAAUAAGGAAUAGCCUAUCAAGAGAGUCUCUUAACACAUUAUCUUGGCUGGCGGGCUGUCCGCUGGACAGCACUGCCUGCAGGUCUCAGGCUGAUGCUAGGAGAGGCCAUCGGGAGAACCAACUUGGCCUCAGGGUUCUCUGGGGGUUCAAAUGGGCAUUAAAAUGUGUUCAGCG